Molecule: transfer RNA, 25 nt
Filed under: Streptocarpus formosus
Lineage: Eukaryota; Viridiplantae; Streptophyta; Magnoliopsida; Lamiales; Gesneriaceae
Also listed under: 2 other names
Description: partial tRNA-Asp
Source: RNAcentral
CGGGACUGGCGGGGCUCGAACCCGC